AGAGUUAAAAAGUACGUGAAAUUGUUGAAAGGGAAACGAUUGAAGUCAGUCGUACCGGCGGAAAAUCAACUACUUGAGUGAGUACUUGUGAGCGUAUGUGAGCUUCACGGCCGCAUUGUUUGCAAUGUUCGUGUUCUUGUGGUGUACUUUUUCGUAUGGUAGGUUAACAUCGGUUUCGGAUAUCAUAAAAUGAUCGGAGGAAUGUAGCUUCGACUUCGGUUGAAGUGUUAUAGCCUUUGGUAGAUGUGAUAUCUGGGACCGAGGAUUGCAACGAAUACCCUUUGGGCUAUCCGUCUGGCCUCUGAAAGUCGCCUGGGUGCCGAAAGCUUGCUUAUGGUAUCUAAGUUUGACGUUCAAUAGGCUAGAACGUGAUUACAUUCGUUAAGGAUGUUGACGUAAUGGCUUUAAACGACC
This 414-nucleotide ribosomal RNA is filed under the name Orientoglomus emiratium. RNAcentral describes it as "partial large subunit ribosomal RNA". Lineage: Eukaryota; Fungi; Glomeromycota; Glomeromycetes; Glomerales; Glomeraceae. The record is from RNAcentral.